CCNGUGGCGAAAGCGGUUCUCUGGUCUGUCACUGACGCUGAGGCUNGAAAGCGUGGGUAGCGAACAGGAUUAGAUACCCUGGUAGUNCACGCCGUAAACGAUGAGUGCUAGGUGUUAGGCCCUUUCCGGGGCUUAGUGCCGGAGCUAACGCAAUAAGCACUCCGCCUGGGGAGUACGACCGCAAGGUUGAAACUCAAAGGAAUUGACGGGGGCCCGCACAAGCGGUGGAGCAUGUGGUUUAAUUCGAAGCAACGCGAAGAACCUUACCAGGUCUUGACAUCCCGAUGCUAUUCUUAGAGAUAGGAAGUUACUUCGGUACAUCGGAGACAGGUGGUGCAUGGUUGUCGUCAGCUCGUGUCGUGAGAUGUUGGGUUAAGUCCCGCAACGAGCGCAACCCUUAUUGUUAGUUGCCAUCAUUAAGUUGGGCACUCUAGCGAGACUGCCGGUAAUAAACCGGAGGAAGGUGGGGAUGACGUCAAAUCAUCAUGCCCCUUAUGACCUGGGCUACACACGUGCUACAAUGGUCGGUACAACGAGUUGCGAGCCGGUGACGGCAAGCUAAUCUCUGAAAGCCGAUCUCAGUUCGGAUUGGAGGCUGCAACUCGCCUCCAUGAAGUCGGAAUCGCUAGUAAUCGCGGAUCAGCACGCCGCGGUGAAUACGUUCCCGGGCCUUGUACACACCGCCCGUCACACCACGAGAGUUUGUAACACCCGAAGUCGGUGAGGUAACCUUUUAGGGGCCAGCCGC
RNAcentral lists this ribosomal RNA (748 nucleotides) under uncultured bacterium. RNAcentral's name for it is "bacterial SSU rRNA". It matches the Rfam family "Bacterial small subunit ribosomal RNA", at positions 708 to 1456 of the family's 1533-position model. The record is from RNAcentral.